This 29-nucleotide non-coding RNA is filed under the name Mus musculus (house mouse). Lineage: Eukaryota; Metazoa; Chordata; Mammalia; Rodentia; Muridae. The record is from RNAcentral.
UAGCCACAAGGUUAAUGGGUCUUUCUAUC